This 64-nucleotide transfer RNA is filed under the name Aplomya sp. RNAcentral describes it as "tRNA-Arg". The record is from RNAcentral. Lineage: Eukaryota; Metazoa; Arthropoda; Insecta; Diptera; Tachinidae.
GAAUAUGAAGCAAUAUAUUGCAAUUAGUUUCGACCUAAUUUUUAGGUAACUUUACCCUUAUUCU